Anguilla anguilla (European eel) is the source of this 561-nucleotide long non-coding RNA. RefSeq lists it as uncharacterized. NCBI's taxonomy places the organism in Eukaryota, Metazoa, Chordata, Actinopteri, Anguilliformes, Anguillidae. The transcript has 2 exons. The record is from RefSeq and is a predicted model, not a curated record.
GUGUUACCCGGGACCGCUUAGAUGCUAAAUGACAGCUAAGCUCAUUGAAAUUCCUGUUUUCGUAAAAACUGGAGAUGCCAAUAUUUUUGAGCUGUCAGUCCUACCAUUCAAACUCCAAGCUUAAAACCAUCAAAGCCGUGCCCUGGAGCACCCUGACCCAGAGACCCUGUGUCACUGCAGGAGCAACACUGCUAACAUCUGCCCAGCUGACGUUACGUCAAUGGCUGCCACACUGGAGGCUCGCAAACGAAGGUCCAUGGACGUGCACAUAAAUGUUAUGAAUGACAAAUUUUAGACCUUUCCCGGAUUAUAAAAUGUAUUUAUUUUCCCCAAUAUUUAUUCAAGGAAAUACUGAGGAUAAAAUGAAGGUUGUCUGCUUUCCACGUCCUUGAUGAGAUCUGUAUCAUUGUAAAUAUUUAACUUCAUACAGUAGCACUAUAUGUUAUAUACAUUCAUGAUAUUACGGGUGAUUAUUUUAAACAUUCUUGAGAUGAAAAAUUUUGGGAACCCCAGAUAAAUAUAACCAAGCCAAUACCAUUAAAGAAGUAAUUGGUUUAAUAA